GUGGUGACUGGGCUGAGUCAACCAGGUUCUCCCUCAGGAAUGUGAACUAAGACACACUGAAAGAAUGGAGCAGAUAACAGAAAUCUGAAGCUGAGGGAACGUUCUGGGGCAGAGGAGCAACCAUGAUGCCCCAUUCUCAGGGAAAAGUUAUGAGGCAGGAGGAAUUGGAAAAAAACAACAGAGACCCAGAAUAAAGCCCAGAGAGCAGAGAAUUGGGAAAAAAAAUGAGCUAGCUGGAAGAGAGAUACAGACACACCAAAGAGGAGAAAAAAAAGAACAGAAUAGUGAUGAGUGGCCUGUUCAGACAGAAGGCAGAUUCACCACUAAGUUCUUUUCUGUUAAUCAGUCUGCAAGACGCUUCUUAAGAUGGUCGCACUGUGAAGCCGGCUAUUUCAAAGCUAUAUUUCUUUGAAGUUCUGGAGUCUCUAGCCAUAUGUCCACUUGCCUGCCAGGUGCACUGGCCAUAACCACAGCACAUUCCUGAAGGUCACUACAAGGCUGGAAAAUUGUGGGUCAGCUUCCCAGAGGCACAAUCUCCCAGACAAGCUGAGGCUUUAGGCCCGCCUGCAGUCUAUUCCUGGCUCCACCAUCGGAGAGAUUGGAUGGAAGACCAGAGGCUGGGGGAGGAAGACGGGCCUGCUACUGUUCCUGUCUGCACUGCCCCGGGAAAAGCCUACAUCCUGGCACCAGCAGGUCAGUUCUGGUGACCUCAACCUCUCCCCUUCGUCUCCCAGCUCUAGAAGUCCCAGAUGCUUCCUGCAGUGACCAUCUUUAUGUGAAUCCUGUGUUACAUCAGUGUUCCCUUUUUGCUUUUCUGUGCUUCAACAGCUAUUUCAUCAAUUCC
This 844-nucleotide long non-coding RNA is filed under the name Equus caballus (horse). Its description in RNAcentral is "lncRNA (ENSECAG00000056985.1)". The record is from RNAcentral. Lineage: Eukaryota; Metazoa; Chordata; Mammalia; Perissodactyla; Equidae.